GAUGAACGCUGGCGGCGUGCCUAAUACAUGCAGUCGAGCGAACAGAUGAGGAGCUUGCUCCUCUGACGUUAGCGGCGGACGGGUGAGUAACACGUGGAUAACCUACCUAUAAGACUGGGAUAACUUCGGGAAACCGGAGCUAAUGCCGGAUAAUAUAUUGAACCGCUUGGUUCAAUAGUGAAAGACGGUUUAGCUGUCACUUAUAGAUGGAUCCGCGCCGCAUUAGCUAGUUGGUAAGGUAACGGCUUACCAAGGCAACGAUGCGUAGCCGACCUGAGAGGGUGAUCGGCCACACUGGAACUGAGACACGGUCCAGACUCCUACGGGAGGCAGCAGUAGGGAAUCUUCCGCAAUGGGCGAAAGCCUGACGGAGCAACGCCGCGUGAGUGAUGAAGGUCUUCGGAUCGUAAAACUCUGUUAUUAGGGAAGAACAAAUGUGUAAGUAACUAUGCACGUCUUGACGGUACCUAAUCAGAAAGCCACGGCUAACUACGUG
This 496-nucleotide ribosomal RNA is filed under the name uncultured bacterium. RNAcentral's name for it is "partial 16S ribosomal RNA". It matches the Rfam family "Bacterial small subunit ribosomal RNA", at positions 28 to 507 of the family's 1533-position model. The record is from RNAcentral.